This 468-nucleotide ribosomal RNA is filed under the name uncultured bacterium. RNAcentral's name for it is "partial 16S ribosomal RNA". It matches the Rfam family "Bacterial small subunit ribosomal RNA", at positions 28 to 507 of the family's 1533-position model. The record is from RNAcentral.
GACGAACGCUGGCGGCGGGCUUAACACAUGCAAGUCGAACGGAAAGGCCCUGCUUUUGUGGGGUGCUCGAGUGGCGAACGGGUGAGUAACACGUGAGUAACCUGCCCUUGACUUUGGGAUAACUUCAGGAAACUGGGGCUAAUACCGGAUAGGAGCUCCUGCUGCAUGGUGGGGGUUGGAAAGUUUCGGCGGUUGGGGAUGGACUCGCGGCUUAUCAGCUUGCUGGUGGGGUAGUGGCUUACCAAGGCUUUGACGGGUAGCCGGCCUGAGAGGGUGACCGGCCACAUUGGGACUGAGAUGCGGCCCAGACUCCUACGGGAGGCAGCGGUGGAGAAUAUUGCACAAUGGGCGGAAGCCUGAUGCAGCAACGCCGCGUGCGGGAUGACGGCCUUCGGGUUGUAAACCGCUUUCGCCUGUGACGAAGCGUGAGUGACGGUAAUGGGUGAAGAAGCACCGGCUAACUACGUG